UGGGUGAUCUGCCCUGCACUUCGGGAUAAGCCUGGGAAACUGGGUCUAAUACCGGAUAUACCUCAUUGAUCUCCUGGUUGGUGGGGGAAAGCUUUUGCGGUGUGGGAUGGGCCCGCGGCCUAUCAGCUAGUUGGUGAGGUAACGGCUCACCAAGGCAACGAUGGGUAGCUGGUCUGAGAGGACGAUCAGCCACACUGGGACUGAGACACGGCCCAGACCUCCGUACGGGAGCAG
RNAcentral lists this ribosomal RNA (234 nucleotides) under uncultured bacterium. RNAcentral's name for it is "partial 16S ribosomal RNA". It matches the Rfam family "Bacterial small subunit ribosomal RNA", at positions 118 to 347 of the family's 1533-position model. The record is from RNAcentral.